GCUUUCAUAUUAUACAAGCUUGUAUAAUAUCUA
This 33-nucleotide small RNA is filed under the name Salix viminalis (osier). The record is from RNAcentral. Lineage: Eukaryota; Viridiplantae; Streptophyta; Magnoliopsida; Malpighiales; Salicaceae.